UUCUAAUAAACAGAAAAAGGUGACUCCUCCACCUAUCCUCUCUCCCCAAUUCCACAUUGCAACAUUAGGGUCCUAGGCUUCCAGCACAGGGCGUCGGUUCGAGCUCCAAUAUCCUCGCGUCGCUCCGGUGGCGUUCUAGCAGACGGACCAUCUCCGGCGUCCGGCGGCCUCGGCCAUCUCCUGAGCCCUCUGACGGCUAGAAAUAAAGGGCGCGCUCGUCUUCGCCGCCUCUUCAUCUCCGGUGUCUGGCAGGCUUGGCCAUCUCCGACGUCCGCUUCGAGCUCGAAGCUUGCGUCGCUUCGGUGCUGGUGGAUCGACGCGGCGAGGGGAUCUAUCCGGGGGUUUGGAUCGGGUUCUUCUCCAUCUCCAUGUUCAUCUGGUCAUCAACUUCAAAAACCUCUGGGUCCAUAAGUAGCUCAUCUUCCACUAGCUUGCAUUCAGAGGACAUUGUGGAAAAAGGUUCUUGUACUUCUGCCAGGCAUAGAACGAAACGAGGUCACGCCAAAUGCAAGAAGCUAGAAAAAGGAGGUCCCCGUCGUCUUACGUUUGAUAAAAAUGGGAUUGCCCAGUCACCGGUAAAACAUGUCAAUGAAUUCUCAAGCUAUUAUGGUUAUAUAGCACACAUGCGUGUUGAUAUUAGGAUAAAGGAUUGGCGAAAAGUGCCUAAAGUGGUAAAAGCAAACCUAUGGGAGGAUGUGUCAAAGAAAUUUGUCAUGCCAAGGGAGGAAACCCAUACCCUCAAUGUGAAGAAGGUCGCUUUGAAAUCUAUGAGCCAUGCAUGGAAGGAUUUCAAGUGGAAACUAAAUAUAAAUUAUGUCAAGAAGGACAAAACUCCAUUUGAGGACUAUCCAGAACUCAAGAAAGAGUGGUGGCCAAACUUUGUGGAGUGGGUUACCUCUGAUGACUAUAUUGCUCUUGGAGAAAAGGGCAAGAAAAGCCAAAGCAUGAAUCCGUCAAAAACUAGGUCGCCAAAGCUAUACUGUACAAAAGAGAAAAUGGGCAAAGGAAGAUGCACAAGCAUUAACUGAGGGUAAAUCUAUUCCAUUUCAAGACAUGCCAGAUGGCCAUCAUAAGGAUUGGGCAAGUGCGAGGAAUCCUUCUGGCGACGUGAAGAUAACAGAGUCGCAUCCAAUCAUAAAGAAAAUUGUAGAUCUAAAUGAAAAGUCAGUAGCUGGUACCUUUACACCAUUGGAUAAUAUGGACAUACUUGCAACAACAAUAGGGAGUAAUCAUCCAGGAAGGACAACAGGGGAGGCGAUGAAAUGCAAGUUGGUGGCGCAGAUAGGUCUGCAUUCUGUUGUGGUCGCUAGAGGGCAGGCUUACCCUCCAAAGGAUGUUGUAACUGUCCAUGGGAUUGAGCGGCGAGAUGACCACACAAAAUGCAGGUUGAUUUUGUGUUUGAAAACUUCUUGGAUUUUCCGCUCCCUAAACCAAUCGCUGGUGGUGAUAUGUUCACUCUUGGGGAAGCCAAAAAUUCAUUUGUGUUAUGGCCUAAGUCAGGCAUACAACUAGCAGAGGAAACAACAGUUCAUGCAAAGCCUCAACAAGUCCCACACACAUCGCCUCAGGUACUUCAUCACACACCUGAAAAGGAUAAAAUGCCAACACCAACAAUGGGUACCGAGGAUAUAGAUGUCACACAUAGUGCCUCCAAUGUCAGCAAGAAGAGGAAACAUAAGCAUAAAAAACAUAACAAAAGCAAAGAGAAAGAGCAAAAAAAUUCACAACAGAAAAACAUAGAAGAUGAUGGUCUUGAUCCCCUUUGGACUCACCCCUUUCAUCAAUGAUCUCCACCACAAGUUCCAAAUAAUAAACAAUUUGUGCUAGGGCAGCCUUUAGUAUCUAGUGCAUUGCUUAAUAGGAUGGGUAAACAGAGCCAAUGUUUCCACAAAUGGUAUUUUUCUAUGACCACACCAAUAUCUCGAAGGCAAAGUGCCACACACUUCAUGGUACGAUACAAAGAACACGAUUUUCUUGAAAAUUCUGGGGUCUAUGCAGUAGAAUUCAGUGAUUUAUUUCACAUCUACAAUGAUCUUGCCCUUGACAUAUCCUUACAUCGGAGUUGGAUGCUGUGAGUGAGCUCCACCAUUUCCUAUAAGUGUCUACUUUUUAUUCUUUAUCUAACUUAUUCUUUUAAUAGAUGCAUGAAGAAGAUAGACAAAUACAGAGGCAUAGUUGGCUUUUUAGAUCCAGAGAUGGUCAUUUUAAAGAGAAUCAAUGAAGAGGCUGAUGAAGUCAAAGCAUACAUUGUGAAAGCAUUGCUUGCUCAGCAGGACAAAGAGUGCAUAUUUGUUGUUUGCCAGGAAGGUUACCAUUGGGCCUUGUUAGUUAUUUUUCUAAAAUGGAAUACAGUGUACAAUAUUGACUCCAAAGGUUACCAAUCCCCUAGCUGCUAUAGUAUUAAGAAGCUAUUCGAUGAGGCUUUUGGUGCUUAUGUCGACAAAAAAGGUCGCCAUAACAAGAAUUUUGGUCGCACAGUUAUAUGGAAACAUUUUCAGGCACACAUACAACCACCUGGCAGUAUGCUUUGCGGACAAUAUGAUGUACCACAUGUUAUCCUUUGCGGAUAAUCUUAGUUUGGACCGUGAUCGAUAUCCCCAGGGCCGUGUUGGUUUUGUAACCUGUCCAUUAUUGCCUGAUGAGAUAGCAAAUGCCCGAGAACGGUUGCCCGACUUCUUCAUGAAUGAGGUCAUAGACAUUGGUGGAUCAUGCAGGGUUGAGGGUGCUUCAUAUAACUAAAUCUAGCAUGGCUUCCUAGGAAAAGAUGGAAUGGCCGCACCAGUGUGGAGACUUGAUUUCAUAUAUAUUUAGUUAGGCACAACGAUAGCGCAAACAAUUGAUUACCAAGUUUGUCAAUUAGUAUUUUAGUUUGGAUAUAGAGUACGCUUAUGCAUGAGCUAUUUGACAAUGCAUAUUUAUGAGAUAUAUAAUAGUAAUUAAGAAUGAUAUCAUCCUACUUUCAUAUAUUUGAUGGACAUCUGAUAUGCAUCUAGUUUUUUUCUCCAAGUUUCAGCAUGUAGUACAUAGGGCUAGGUGUCGAUCCGGAUUGUGUCGCCCGACGACGUGGGGAUGUCGUUUGAGAGGGCCUAUGAGGUGAUCUUCGAGGAGGAGGAAGAUGAUGGACAGACAACGAGGAUACGCCCCGAGGUAUGUACCGACAGGUAUGUACUGUCUUUUCUAUGCACAUGCACUGCGAUUUCUAUAUUGUGUUGGUUUGCUAGUUUGCUACAUCCCUCUACAGAGAUCCUUGCUUUCAGCACUUUAAAAUCACAUUUUACUUUGUGUUAUUUUCUUGAGAACGUGUUUCAUUUGUAGUACUUAUGGAGCCUGACAGGCUCCAGUUUACCUGCAGCAUUUGAAAUUUUCAUGCCUGCUAACCAAAUAAGAACUUUGAAGUCCAGAUUGCUAUGUUCAUGUUACCUUCCACCUAUUUCUUCUGUCCAAACCGACUGAAAGAAGAAGAAAACCCAGCAUGUGAAGAAAUACCUUGUCACGGAUAUUCAUACUCAUCGCUGGAAUUUCUGAUAUGAAAAUUGUAUGGUAGUUCCUAGAAAUUGCUAUAUAAUCUGCUGCUCCGACCUGAGAAAUUAGUAUAGGGGUGAUCGAUGUAUUAGCGAAAGAGCUACUAUGCUCUCAGAUAUACUAAAAAGGAACUACUGUUGAGAAAUUUAAGUUUAUGUAUUUGACUACUAUCAGCUAUAGUGCAAGUAAUAAUAUAAGCUAUUCUGCAGUAAUAAAUUUUUCUUUCCAUCUAACUUGAACUGCAGACAGAUAUGAAAUGAGGUUGAGAUAUUACAAGGGCAGCUUCGAUACCAUCAACGUGCUGCUUGGAGCUUUUUGCUAUGUCUAGUUUUCUCCUAUUUGUUGUACAAGAAAACAUAGAAUGGAAUUCAAAUUUGGUGGUCGCAAAAGUGUGGAGACUUUAAUUCAUAUAAAGUUAGGCUUAACAUUAGUACAAACAGUUGUAUUUUAGUUUAGAUUUAGAGUACACUUAUGUAUGCGUUGUUUGACAAUGCGUAUUUAUGAUAUAUUGAAUGGUAUUUAUUUA
Molecule: long non-coding RNA, 4048 nt
Organism: Zea mays
Lineage: Eukaryota; Viridiplantae; Streptophyta; Magnoliopsida; Poales; Poaceae
Exons: 11
Source: RefSeq, a predicted model, not a curated record